Molecule: ribosomal RNA, 549 nt
Filed under: fungal sp. TZ-2013
Lineage: Eukaryota; Fungi
Description: eukaryotic LSU rRNA
Rfam family: 5.8S ribosomal RNA (bases 176-329)
Source: RNAcentral
GAGGGUUCUGAUGAGGACUCUGGGUCACCUCCCACCCGUGUUUAUUGUACCUUGUUGCUUCGGUGCGCCCGCCUCACGGCCGCCGGGGGGCUUCUGCCCCCGGGCCCGCGCCCACCGAAGACACCAUUGAACUCUGUCUGAAGAUUGCAGUCUGAGCAUAAACUAAAUAAGUUAAAACUUUCAACAACGGAUCUCUUGGUUCCGGCAUCGAUGAAGAACGCAGCGAAAUGCGAUAACUAAUGUGAAUUGCAGAAUUCAGUGAAUCAUCGAGUCUUUGAACGCACAUUGCGCCCCCUGGUAUUCCGGGGGGCAUGCCUGUCCGAGCGUCAUUGCUGCCCUCAAGCACGGCUUGUGUGUUGGGCUCCGUCCCCCCGGGGACGGGCCCGAAAGGCAGCGGCGGCACCGAGUCCGGUCCUCGAGCGUAUGGGGCUUUGUCACCCGCUCUGUAGGCCCGGCCGGCGCCAGCCGACAACCCAUCAUCCUUUUCAGGUUGACCUCGGAUCAGGUAGGGAUACCCGCUGAACUUAAGCAUAUCAAUAAGGCGGAGGA